GAUGAACGCUAGCUACAGGCUUAACACAUGCAAGUCGAGGGGUAACGAGAGGAAAGCUUGCUUUCCUUGUCGACGACCGGCGCACGGGUGAGUAACGCGUAUCCAACCUGCCCCCAACUAGGGAAUAACCUUGCGAAAGUAAGACUAAUACCCUAUAAUUUCCUCAGAUGUCAUCUGACGAGGAAUAAAGAUUUAUCGGUUGUGGAUGGGGAUGCGUCUGAUUAGCUUGUUGGCGGGGUAACGGCCCACCAAGGCAACGAUCAGUAGGGGUUCUGGGAGGAAGGACCCACACAUGGGAACUGAGACACGGUCCAAACUCCUACGGGAGGCAGCAGUGAGGAAGAUUGGUCAAUGGGCGGAAGCCUGAACCAGCCAAGUAGCGUGCAGGAUGACGGCCCUAUGGGUUGUAAACUGCUUUUAUACAGGAAUAAAGUUAGCCACGUGUGGUUAUUUGUAGGUACUGUAUGAAUAAGGACCGGCUAAUUCCGUGCCAGCAGCCGCCGUAA
Molecule: ribosomal RNA, 506 nt
Filed under: uncultured bacterium
Lineage: Bacteria
Description: partial 16S ribosomal RNA
Rfam family: Bacterial small subunit ribosomal RNA
Source: RNAcentral